GUGCAAAAAGAAUCAGCUGAGACACAGACCUCAGGGGGAGAUGGUACAUCCCUGUGCCUCUGGUCAGCUGGAACAAGGAGCUAUUGUCCCUUCUGGUCAUCUUCAAGCCUGGUCUGGGAUCUAUCCACAGUGACAUCUGGGGACAUCUACAAAGGACAAUGUCAUCUUGAGAGGGGAAAUGGACUGUGUUCCAUGACUUUCCAGAGUGUGUUCUGGCCUCUACAGUGCUCAGUUGGAAGCACUGGGCUGGAGCCCCAGGAUUGGUCAGGGAUGGCACCGGGACCAGUAAGCAUAAGUGGUCCAGGGCAAAUGUAUUCAUAUUUAAAUGCAUAUUAAAUCUAAAUGAAGAAA
RNAcentral lists this long non-coding RNA (351 nucleotides) under Rattus norvegicus (Norway rat). Its description in RNAcentral is "long non-coding RNA NONRATT001326". Lineage: Eukaryota; Metazoa; Chordata; Mammalia; Rodentia; Muridae. The record is from RNAcentral.